Molecule: transfer RNA, 74 nt
Filed under: Candidatus Shapirobacteria bacterium
Lineage: Bacteria; Candidatus Shapironibacteriota
Description: tRNA-Arg
Rfam family: tRNA
About the family: Transfer RNA (tRNA) molecules are approximately 80 nucleotides in length. Their secondary structure includes four short double-helical elements and three loops (D, anti-codon, and T loops).
Source: RNAcentral
GUGUCCGUGGCUCAAUUGGAUAGAGCACUCCCCUCCGAAGGGAGAUGUUGGAGGUUCAAGUCCUCUCGGACACA